CAUGUCUAGUUAUUUAGUCGGUUGAUAAACAACAAUUCGAAUACUCGAUUGAACAACGCACAUUAAACUAUAUAUUUGAUUUAUAAAGGUUCAAGAAGUACAGUUACUUAGGAGUUAAAUAAUCCUGAAAUAGGUAAAAAGAAUACCCAAUUAUUUCCAUUCACAUACGGCAAUUUUGGAUUACAGCCUCCUCUAAUUCAUCUUUGCUCAACUCCCCUCCCUCCACUAUAACUCUUAUCUCCUCAAUUACCAAACUUCAAUGCUGAGCCAAUUCUCUUCCAGUAUGGAGGGUGCCAUUAAAGGUCGAAGGUUGAAAACUUCAAUGAUGAUGAUAGGGCUAGGUACAAGGCAAGUUGUGCUUCCAAAAUAUGUGAUGUUGAUGUUGCAAAAAACAGAGGGUUUGCGGCAGUGAUGAUGCAGAUUGAGCAUUGUUUUUGCCUUGAUGCAGAUGAUGCAGAUGAUGAUGUUAGGUGUUCAUGAUGAUGAUGUUAGGUGUUCAUGAUGAUGAUGUUAGGCUUAAAGUAGUUUUUAGGUUGUAAUUAGGGGUAUGAUUAUGAUGAUGAUGUAUUAGUAUUUUGGCUUAAGUAGUAAGUUGUAUUUCGGGUUGUUGUGGUUUAGGGUUCUUAGUGAUCACGUAAACUCGAGUUACGUUGACAGUUUCUGGCAUGUUGUAAGUUGAAUUACAGUUGAAUAAAAUAUCUUUGCAAGAUUAUUAGAUUAUUUUCACAA
Spinacia oleracea (spinach) is the source of this 729-nucleotide long non-coding RNA. RefSeq lists it as uncharacterized. The record is from RefSeq and is a predicted model, not a curated record. NCBI's taxonomy places the organism in Eukaryota, Viridiplantae, Streptophyta, Magnoliopsida, Caryophyllales, Amaranthaceae. The transcript has 2 exons.